RNAcentral lists this ribosomal RNA (472 nucleotides) under uncultured bacterium. Its description in RNAcentral is "partial 16S ribosomal RNA". It matches the Rfam family "Bacterial small subunit ribosomal RNA", at positions 28 to 507 of the family's 1533-position model. The record is from RNAcentral.
GACGAACGCUGGCGGCGUGCUUAACACAUGCCAGUCGAACGCUGAAGCUUGGUGCUUGCACUGGGUGGAUGAGUGGCGAACGGGUGAGUAAUACGUGAGUAACCUGCCCUUGACUCUGGGAUAAGCCUGGGAAACUGGGUCUAAUACUGGAUACGACAUGUCACCGCAUGGUGGUGUGUGGAAAGGGUUUUACUGGUUUUGGAUGGGCUCACGGCCUAUCAGCUUGUUGGUGGGGUAAUGGCUCACCAAGGCGACGACGGGUAGCCGGCCUGAGAGGGUGACCGGCCACACUGGGACUGAGACACGGCCCAGACUCCUACGGGAGGCAGCAGUGGGGAAUAUUGCACAAUGGGCGAAAGCCUGAUGCAGCGACGCCGCGUGAGGGAUGACGGCCUUCGGGUUGUAAACCUCUUUCAGCACGGAAGAAGCGAAAGUGACGGUACGUGCAGAAGAAGCGCCGGCUAACUACGUG